AUUGAACGCUGGCGGCAUGCCUUACACAUGCAAGUCGAACGGCAGCACGGGAGCAAUCCUGGUGGCGAGUGGCGAACGGGUGAGUAAUACAUCGGAACGUGCCCAGUAGUGGGGGAUAGCCCGGCGAAAGCCGGAUUAAUACCGCAUGAGACCUGAGGGUGAAAGCGGGGGAUCGCAAGACCUCGCGCUAUUGGAGCGGCCGAUGUCAGAUUAGCUAGUUGGUAGGGUAAAGGCCUACCAAGGCAACGAUCUGUAGUUGGUCUGAGAGGACGACCAGCCACACUGGGACUGAGACACAGCCCAGACUCCUACGGGAGGCAGCAGUGGGGAAUUUUGGACAAUGGGCGCAAGCCUGAUCCAGCAAUGCCGCGUGCAGGAAGAAGGCCUUCGGGUUGUAAACUGCUUUUGUCAGGGAAGAAAUCUUCUGGGCUAAUACCCUGGGAGGAUGACGGUGCCUGAAGAAUAAGCACCGGCUAACUACGUGCCAGCCGCCGCCGUAA
Molecule: ribosomal RNA, 500 nt
Filed under: uncultured bacterium
Lineage: Bacteria
Description: partial 16S ribosomal RNA
Rfam family: Bacterial small subunit ribosomal RNA
Source: RNAcentral